This 738-nucleotide ribosomal RNA is filed under the name Clavibacter sp. AD-C12. RNAcentral describes it as "bacterial SSU rRNA". It matches the Rfam family "Bacterial small subunit ribosomal RNA", at positions 47 to 796 of the family's 1533-position model. Lineage: Bacteria; Bacillati; Actinomycetota; Actinomycetes; Micrococcales; Microbacteriaceae. The record is from RNAcentral.
CUUAACACAUGCAAGUCGAACGAUGAAGCNGGAGCUUGCUCUGGUGGAUUAGUGGCGAACGGGUGAGUAACACGUGAGUAACCUGCCCUUGACUCUGGAAUAAGCGUUGGAAACGACGUCUAAUACCGGAUACGAGCUUCCGCCGCAUGGUGAGGAGCUGGAAAGAAUUUCGGUCAAGGAUGGACUCGCGGCCUAUCAGGUAGUUGGUGAGGUAAUGGCUCACCAAGCCUACGACGGGUAGCCGGCCUGAGAGGGUGACCGGCCACACUGGAACUGAGACACGGUCCAGACUCCUACGGGAGGCAGCAGUGGGGAAUAUUGCACAAUGGGCGCAAGCCUGAUGCAGCAACGCCGCGUGAGGGACGACGGCCUUCGGGUUGUAAACCUCUUUUAGUAGGGAAGAAGCGAAAGUGACGGUACCUGCAGAAAAAGCACCGGCUAACUACGUGCCAGCAGCCGCGGUAAUACGUAGGGUGCAAGCGUUAUCCGGAAUUAUUGGGCGUAAAGAGCUCGUAGGCGGUUUGUCGCGUCUGCUGUGAAAACUGGGGGCUCAACCCCCAGCCUGCAGUGGGUACGGGCAGACUAGAGUGCGGUAGGGGAGAUUGGAAUUCCUGGUGUAGCGGUGGAAUGCGCAGAUAUCAGGAGGAACACCGAUGGCGAAGGCAGAUCUCUGGGCCGUAACUGACGCUGAGGAGCGAAAGCAUGGGGAGCGAACAGGAUUAGAUACCCUGGUAGUCC